CAUUUUCUUUUCUUGAUGCUUUUAACAUAUUCCUUUGUGUUAUUUAGGUGCAAAUGGCUCUUCUCUAUCAACUUCAUAAAUUAUGUUUGGGAAGUUUGAUAUUUUUAAUAUAAAGCUAUUUCUCAAAUGAAAGUAGGAAUAAAAUAACCCUCUUUCUUCUAAUGGAUCAGUUUGAAACAGGUCUUUGGAUCUGAAAAUGUAUCAAACUUUAUAUAUAAUUUCCUACCCCCAAAUGAAAUCACCAAUGAGAUUUGAGUCAAACUGCUGUUGACUAUUUUGGAUGAUGCCAUUGAUAAAAUCCAGUUUGGCUGUUUGGGGUGUGUGAGCCAAUUUAAGCUGUGUUUUGGCACAUCUCAAAUGGAUUUUCCACUUCCUCCACAGAUGUACGAGUCAGCAGCAAGCAGGAAUAUAUUGAUGUUUAUUUUAUCCUGCUGUGUCCCUAGGCAGGCAUUUCUGAGUUUCCAUGAUGUUUUAAUAACGAAUUAAUAGUGACAUGAAAACACAGUUUUGGAGGUUUUUCCUGAUUCACCAUAAAAGAUUUCACUUUCCUCAAACCAGAUUUCCCCCACUGGAUGGUCAGCAAGAAAAACAGAACCUGUUCAUCAGCCCAAGAUGCUGUUAUUGUUAAAAUACAGGAGAGAACAUACCACCUAUUUUUCCAUUUUGUGUAAAACUCCAUAAUAUGUUAAUGCAUAGUAAACAUUUCUACAAUUGAGUAGGAUAAUUGUCUCACCAAUUUAUUACUCAAAGAAAUUACAAUAAUCAGUUGUUAAACACUGUGAAGCAGAUAAUGUCAUUGGUAAUAAAGUGCCUCAUUUAAUUUUCAAAUAUGUGUGAUAAAAUCUCUAUCCUUAUUUUUUUUCACAUGAGGAAAAAAUAUGACUUCAAUUACGUAACUUGUCCUGAGCCACACCACUCAGUUGCAGAGGCAGACUCGAACCCAUAUCUGUCUGACUUCCACUCUCAUACCUCUACUCUGUGCCCUGGGUUGCUUUUUAGGGCUUCAGGUAGGAUCAUUGUACUUUAUAAAACAGAGCUCAGAAUCAGGGAGAGUUGUUAAUAUUAAGUGAGAAUGAUAUCCAAAGGGUAGUGUAGUGGUAAUGAAUACUGGCUCUGAAGUCAGAUCACUUGGCAUCAAAUGCCAUUCCCACCAUUUACAAGCUGCUAUUAUUCUUAUUACUAUGUACCUUAUUUUGCAAUAUAUUGCUUUACCUAAGCUUUUAGGGACACAUUCACUGUGUAAAUCAAUGCUUCUUGUAUAUACCAACUUAUUUAAGACAAAACAAUUUUGUAGGUAUUAUUAUACCCAUUUCACAGAUGAUGAAAAAUGAGACCAAUAGAAGUUAAAUAACUUGCCAAAGGCCACACAGCUGGUGAGUGAUGGAGAAAGAAUUAAAACUCAGGUGAGUAUAACUCUAAAAGCCAUCUUCUCGUUAGUGUUUCUCACUGUCCAGGUCUGCCUUUGCCUCUUUUAACUGAAGUUAAGCCAUCCUUUACAGUUUGGGGGGAUCAUUACAGUGGGUUUUUAACUCCCAAUGUUCUGGUCCAGUUUGCUUUACAUGUUCUCAUUUAUACAUUGUCAAGGAUGACCUCAGGACAGCGCAGCAAGGACACAGUGGCACUUCACAUUUUGUUCCCACGAAAUGACUGGGACAUAAUCUCAGAUCGUCUUCCUUUAGAAUGUGGAAACAUCAGCAGAAGAACAUUAGUCUUUAUACAAGUCAAAUCCAAAAUGACACAUGUGAAAAAUAAUAGAGCUGACUUUCAGCCAUGAUAGCUUUGGCACACCUCACAUCCCUUUGUUCAACCUCUCUUCCCUCAACGGAGAGCUGCAUUCCUGGGAAUUUCUGUUGUGCGCUUUUCCCACUUGCCCUGCUGUCAUUUAAAGCCCAUUCUCUGGUCACAUCUUGAGUAACUUCCAGCGGAUCCUGGUGCUGGUUCAUUAAGGCUUCAAAGUCCCUUCCUAUGGUGAUGGGCUCAUGGGGGCGCCACCCAGAGGCAAUGCAGGUUCUAACAUGAGCAGAUAGAGUCUGUGCCUAUUCUCUCCUCUUUAAAUGUGGAAAUAUCAGGGAUAGAAAAUGUUCUCUAGCUCCAGUGAUGGUUGGCUCUCAAAUCUGCAUAAAACAAUGGGGAGACUGGAAAGAUCAAUUGAGUGAUGAGGGCCCAACUAGAGUAUCGGAGACCUUUGUGUAGAAGUGAUUCAAAUAAGCUACAUGUUAUCUUAUUGAAUACCCAUUAAAUUCGGCAACUCUGUGAGGUGCUACAGAAGUUUCUGAGAGUGGAAGAGGUGAAAUCAACAGAAUGGACUCUAGACCCACACCCUCACCCGCUCCCAGUGAGCUGCUCAACUUUAUUUUAUUUUU
Long non-coding RNA from Nomascus leucogenys (northern white-cheeked gibbon), 2363 nucleotides. RefSeq lists it as uncharacterized. The transcript has 4 exons. NCBI's taxonomy places the organism in Eukaryota, Metazoa, Chordata, Mammalia, Primates, Hylobatidae. The record is from RefSeq and is a predicted model, not a curated record.